GGAAGAAUACCCAAGUGGUUGAAGGGACUGGUUUCGAAAACCAGCAGGAGCUCAAACUCGCAGGGGUUCAAAUCCCCUUUCUUCCGCCA
This 89-nucleotide transfer RNA is filed under the name bacterium. RNAcentral's name for it is "tRNA-Ser". It matches the Rfam family "tRNA". Rfam says of the family: Transfer RNA (tRNA) molecules are approximately 80 nucleotides in length. Their secondary structure includes four short double-helical elements and three loops (D, anti-codon, and T loops). Further hydrogen bonds mediate the characteristic L-shaped molecular structure. tRNAs have two regions of fundamental functional importance: the anti-codon, which is responsible for specific mRNA codon recognition, and the 3' end, to which the tRNAs corresponding amino acid is attached (by aminoacyl-tRNA synthetases). tRNAs cope with the degeneracy of the genetic code in two manners: having more than one tRNA (with a specific anti-codon) for a particular amino acid; and 'wobble' base-pairing, i.e. permitting non-standard base-pairing at the 3rd anti-codon position. The record is from RNAcentral.